AGAUUGAACGCUGGCGGCAUGCCUUACACAUGCAAGUCGAACGGCAGCACGGGAGCAAUCCUGGUGGCGAGUGGCGAACGGGUGAGUAAUAUAUCGGAACGUGCCCAGUCGUGGGGGAUAACGUAGAGAAAUUUACGCUAAUACCGCAUACGAUCCAAGGAUGAAAGCGGGGGACCGUAAGGCCUCGCGCGACUGGAGCGGCUGAUAUCAGAUUAGCUUGUUGGUGAGGUAAAAGCUCACCAAGGCGACGAUCUGUAGCUGGUUUGAGAGAACGACCAGCCACACUGGGACUGAGACACGGUCCAGACUCCUACGGGAGCAGCAGUGGGAAUAUUGGACAAUGGGCGAAAGCCUGAUCCAGCCAUGCCGCGUGUGUGAAGAAGGUCUUCGGAUUGUAAAGCACGUUUAAGUGGAGGAAGGUUGUAACCUAAUACGUUAGCUAACUUUGACGUUACCGACAGAAUAAGCACGGCUAACUUCGUGCCAG
RNAcentral lists this ribosomal RNA (487 nucleotides) under uncultured soil bacterium. Its description in RNAcentral is "bacterial SSU rRNA". It matches the Rfam family "Bacterial small subunit ribosomal RNA", at positions 26 to 511 of the family's 1533-position model. The record is from RNAcentral.